RNAcentral lists this ribosomal RNA (262 nucleotides) under uncultured bacterium. RNAcentral describes it as "partial 16S ribosomal RNA". It matches the Rfam family "Bacterial small subunit ribosomal RNA", at positions 99 to 354 of the family's 1533-position model. The record is from RNAcentral.
CGCACGGGUGAGUAACACGUGAGUGACCUGCCUUUUAGACUGGAACAACUUACCGAAAGGUGAGCUAAUGCCGGAUGAGUUAUAUAAGUGCAUGUUUAUAUAGGAAAAGUUGGGGAGACCUGACGCUGAAAGAUGGACUCGCGUCCCAUUAGCUAGUUGGUAGGGUAAUGGCCUACCAAGGCGACGAUGGGUAGCCGGCCUGAGAGGGUGGCCGGCCACACUGGGACUGAGACACGGCCCAGACCCCUACGGAAGGCAGCAG